AAGAUAGAGAAAGAGCUAUCAAUUUGUCAAUCCUUUCCGUGUCCGGGCCAGGUGAGGUUUCCCGUGUUGAUGGAGCCUUUGUUUGGUU
Molecule: long non-coding RNA, 88 nt
Organism: Sinocyclocheilus anshuiensis
Lineage: Eukaryota; Metazoa; Chordata; Actinopteri; Cypriniformes; Cyprinidae
Exons: 3
Source: RefSeq, a predicted model, not a curated record